Long non-coding RNA from Lolium perenne, 897 nucleotides. RefSeq lists it as uncharacterized. The record is from RefSeq and is a predicted model, not a curated record. Lineage: Eukaryota; Viridiplantae; Streptophyta; Magnoliopsida; Poales; Poaceae.
UGAAGGAAGUUUACAGUUGAUAUAUCUCUAGCUCCGAGGAAUUAUCGCUCGGUGACUUGGGUAUGUCCACUCAAGUUGUAAUGAAAUUCUGCAGUUUGUGAAGGAAGUUUACAGGUAAACAAUUUUCCUCCAUUUGUCUCUGAACAUGGACCGUGAGCUUCAGUGCUAAUCAGUUUUGUGGUGUCAUCUUUUGCCUUGAGAUGACCUUGGGAGAAGAUCAGCCCGGAAGUUACCUGAGAUGCAUAAGAAGAGCCUGAGCACUGAUCACGACUCGGUGAUUCGUGAAGUUACCGAGUACCGGAACCAGAGCUAUCCGCGCGGAUCCCAGAGAGUGCUCCUUGCUCUCUCAGAAAGAAGAUGACAGACAAGAUGCAAAAUGGAAAUGACAGACAAGAUGUGCAAUGAAACAUCUCCAUUGCCAUAUGAGGAGUUGGACCUCGAGCUCGAGGGUGAGGAAAACUUGGGAACAUGCAUGACAGUUAUCAACGAAUUCAAGAUAUGAAGUCGUCAAUCAGUACAUGGGUUUAUCACCCGGGACGACGACAGAGCCAGCGCAGGUUUGCAAUAGCUACUGUACUACAAAAGCAUCGAUGGACGAUGGUCGAUCUGCACACGGCCGGUGAAACAGAAACAUGGUGACGAUCAGAUCCGGCAAGCGUCCCCUCAAUUUGCAGGGUGCAGGUGGUGGGCUGGCCGCCGGUAGGCGCGUACAGGAAACCAGCGGGCGGUGGGCUAUACGUCAAGGUGAGUAUGGACGGCGCGUCGUACCUGUGCGCGGUCGCCGGGCAGCAGCGGCGCGCGGUCGCCGAGGAGCAGCGGCGCGGUCGCCGGGGAGCAGGUCGCCGGGAGCAGCGGCGCAAAGGUCACCGGGGAGCAGGUCGCCGGGGAGCAGCGGUC